CGCAUCCCCAUUUCAGCGCUGGGCAGCCUGGGAAAUGUAGUCCCUCCCCUCAGCCUUGAAACGGAAGGCGGGAAACAUCCCAGCGCUUAUCUCCUUAUUCAUCCUGCAAGUAUUAAUAAAAUAAUAUAUGUAUAUACAGUAGAGUCUCACUUAUCCAACAUAAACGGGCCGGCAGAAUGUUGGAUAAGCGAAUAUGUUGGAUAAUAAGGAGGGAUCAAGGAAAAGUCUAUUAAACAUCAAAUUAGGUAAUCAUUAUACAAAUUAAGCACCAAAACAUCAUGUUAUACAACAAAUUUGACAGAAAAAGUAGUUCAAUAUACAAUAACGCUAUGUAGUAAUGACUGUAUUUACGAAUUUAGCACCAAAAUAUCAUGAUGUAUUGAAAACAUUGACUACAAAAAUGUGUUGGAUAAUCCAGAACGUUGGAUAAGCGAAUGUUGGAUAAAUGAGACUCUACUGUAUAUUCAAAAAUAUAUUGAAACACCCAUAUUAAGAGCAUGUGAAGGUUAUGUUUCAAAUAAGGCCAUUAUUAAUAUGUAUUUAAUAAGAUAAUAAUUUGAUAUAAUGUGUGAGAGGCUGAGGGAGCCAUAACAUUAGUAUCUAAGGCAGGCCUGGGCCAACUUGGGCCUUCUCUCGGGUGUUUUGGACUGCAACUCCCACCAUUCCUCACAGCCUCAGGCCCUUUCCUUUUGUCCCUCAGGCGCUUAAGCAGCCCGGAAAACUCACAAUGACCCAUUGAUUCCAGCCAUGAAAGCCUUCAAACAACAGAGAUCCCCUUAAGACCCCACAGCAGGCUGGUUUCAGGCAAAGGAAAAGAAGCACAUCACAAGUGCUGGACCUGACUCAGCACAUAGAAGAUGGUUUUGAAAGGCAACAGAUUACAGGAGAUGUCUUCAUAGACCUGUCAGCAGCUUAAGGGAUCUUCAAAAGGGAUUACGGAGUUUGCUCCUGUUUACAUUGACUGUUUAUCAGCAGAGACAAGCAGCUGCAAAAGGAUCGGCCAGACAAGAGUCCCAUUCUUUCCCAGAUCAAGCUUCAUUGCAUUGUUUACUGCAGGCAGAGGCCUGUUCUCCCCUUCAAGCGGCAGAUCACGUCCCCAUCGGAUCCGGCGAUCAAGUCCGUUCACGCUGGGAUAUCCGCUGGACCUCCAUCACCUGGAGCUGGAUGGCAGAGAGCUGCUCGAUGAUGCUGGUCAGCAGGGCCUCCUCGGCCCCUUCUCGUUCUCCAUCCUGUGCAGGAAAGAAGUGUGUUAAAGCGCUGAGCUGCUGAACUUGCGGACUGAAAGGUGCCAGAUUCAAAUCCCGGGAGCAGAAUGAGCACCCGCUAUUAGCCCCAGCUCCUGCCAACCUAGCAGUUCGAAAACAUGCAAAUGUGAGUAGAUUACUAGGUACCGCUCUGACGGGAAGGUAACGGCACUCCAUGCAGUCAUGCCGGCCACAUGACCUGGAGAUGUCUAUGGACAACACCGGCUCUUCGGCUUAGAAAUGGAGAUGAGCACCAACCGCCAGAGUCGGUCACAACUGGACUUAACGUCAGGGGAAAACUUUACCUUUGUUUAUUGAUGUAUUGUAUAUAUUGUAUAUAACCUCGCGGUUUUUAAUUCCAUAUUAUAUUAAGUGUUUUUUUUUAUUUCUAUAGGUUAAUGUUUAAAAUUUUACAAUUUGUGUAUGUCUUUUGUUUCUUGAUGUAUUGUGUAUUGUUAUUUUUAUCUGGUAUUAUCUGUAAGCCGUCUCGAAUCCCCUUCAGGGGAGAUGGAGACGGGGUAUAAAUAAACUUCUUCUUCUUCUUCUUCUUCUUCUUCUUCUUCUUCUUCUUCUUAUUAUUAUUAUUAUUAUUAUUAUUAUUAUUAGACAGCCAAUUAUCUCACACCAGAAGCAACAUUAUAUUUUACAUGCAAUAUUACUAAUAAUAUUACCAUACAUUGAUAUAGUACAAUAUAGUAAUUUAUUUGCAGUAUUGUACUAUGCUAAUAAUGUAACAUUGUAUGUAAAUUUAAUUUGUAAGCCGCUCUGAGUCCCCUUCGGAGUGAGAAGGGCGGCAUAUAAAUGUAGCAAAUAAAUAAAUAAAAUAAAUAAACAUGCAGUAUGUUCUCACGUUGCUUCAGCCACAAUUUUAAAAAUGGCUGUUACCGUGUUUCCCCGAAAAUAAGACAGUGUCUUAUAUUAAUUUUUGCUCCCCAAGAUGCACUAGGUCUUAUUUUCAGGGGAUGUCUUACUUUUCCAUGAAGAAGAAUUCACAUUUAUUGCUGAACAAAAAAAUGAACAUUUAUUUUAUACUGUACAGUAGUUGUCAUCACAAACCAGCAUAACCAGACAAACUGUGAAUCCUAUCAAGAAUUUCUUGUUACUACAGUAGAGUCUCACUUAUCCAAGCUAAACGGGCAGGCAGAACCUUGGAUAAGCGAAUAUCUUGGAUAAUAAGGAAGGAUUAAGGAAAAGCCUAUUAAACAUCAAGUUAGGUUAUGAUUUUACAAAUUAAGCACCAAAACAUCAUGUUAUACAACAAAUUUGACAGAAAAAGUAGUUCAACACGCAGUAACGUUAUGCUGCAAUUACUGUAUUUAUGAAUUUAGCACCAAAAUAUCACGAUAUAUUGAAAACAUUGACUAUAAAAAUGGCUUGGAUAAUCCAGAGGCUUGGAUAAAUGAGACUCUACUGUACCACUAUUUCUAUGUACAACAAUCUAUGGUACGUACAUUUACCAAUCCUGCAUGCUCUGGUGUUCUGUUUGGCGGGCAUGCUUCCAAACAAAAACUUGGCUAGGUCUUACUUUCAGGGGAGGCCUUAUAGUUAGCAAUUCAGCAAAACCUCUACUAGGUCUUAUUUUCAGGGGAUGUCUUAUUUUCGGGGAAAUAGGGUAGGAAAGUUGGGAAGUUUUGAAAUCCAAAACACCUGGAGGGCCAAAGUUUGUCCAGGCCUGGUGUAGACGCAGUCUUUGGGGAAGUGUGGACUGGAGGGGAUUUGGGGUGCAAGAGCUCCCUCCAGCUUCUCUGCAUUUCUUGUGGGAAGGACAGGUGGGUCUCUUUGAGGCGGCUGCCCCAAACCUGAGCAAACAGGUUCCUCCUGAGCCUCUGCGAGCAAAGUGACCUUGCCGCUGACUUCCCUCUUCCUUCUUCCCAGCCACAGAUGGAGCCUGAACGGGAGCCCUGGUACUUUUCCAUCCCUCCUGCCCUUGUUUUGCAAGGAGACCGCGCCGCACGUUCUCUUUGGAUGUAAACAGUAAGCCAAAACCUUUGGCAACAUGGAGCCAAAGUUCACUGUGACGGCUGACCCUUGACGUUGGGCUGCCCGAGGCAAAUGGUAUGUGCACUCCACCCGGCCCGCUUCUUCCCUAGAUCAAGGUAUAAUGAAGAAUGUGGGCACGAGAGGUCAUGCCAUUUCCCCAGCACUUCUUUGCCACCCUUCCCGGAGCAAACACGCGCGCAUAAUGCACCGAAGGACCGCCCCGAGGAGUGCCGCCCUCCCAAGGCACCCGGAAUCUGCCGCCCGAGGCCACCCUCGGCCUAAUGGCAGGGCGGGGUGUCCCAUUUUAGGGCAAGACGGGGCAGGAUCCCCGGAGACGGGGCACGGAAACAAGUCGAAAUGGCCCAAAAGGGUGGCUUCUCCCCAGCCUUGGAUUCUGGCAAACCAAUGGAAGGGAGUUCUGAGAAUUGUAGUCCAAACAAAACGUUGCUUUUCCGUGGAGUUUGCCAGCAUUCCAGUUACUUCCAGCUCUGAACUGGAUCUCAGUCAGAACCCCAUGAACCUGAACCUCCAUGUAAGGAACAAGAGUGCCUCUGAGCUUGCAUUGAACGUACAAUGCAAUACAGUACUGUAUGUUUUUGAAUAUUUACAUCAAGCUCAAAUUUAAGAUAAGACUGUCCAACUCUGAUUAAAUCGUUAUGCUCAUCUUCAAUGUAAAUGUGCUUAUGUAUCCUUUUAAUAAUAAUAGACUAAAAUAAUACAUGUAAUAAUAAUAAUAAAUACAGGAAAAUAAUACAUGUAAUAAUAAAUAGAGUAAAAUAAUAAAUGCAAUAAUAAUAAUAAUAUCAGAGUGAAAUAAUAAAUGUAUUAUUAUUAAUAAUAAAAAUAGAGUAAAAUAAAUGUAAUACACUAGAAUCUCGCUUAUCCAACGUAAACAGGCCGGCAGAACGUUGGAUAAGCAAAUAUGUUGGAUAAUAAGGAGGCAUUAAGGAAAAGCCUAUUAAACAUCAAAUUAGGUUAUGAUUUUACAAAUUAAGCACCAAAACAUCAUUUUAGACAAUAAAUUUGACAGGAAAAGUAGUUCAAUAGGCAGUAAUGCUACGUAGUAAUUACUGUAUUUACGAAUUUAGUACCAAAAUAUCAUGAUGUAUUGAAAACAUUGACUACAAAAAUGCGUUGGAUAAUCCAGAACGUUGGAUAAGCGAAUGUUGGAUAAGUGAGACUCUACUGUACCAGUGAAUAAUCAUGGAAACCAUUUCAGAAGCCAGAAUUGGGAUGGGGAGAGAGGCAUUUCUCUGCAUGUCGUAAUGCUUUGAGCGUUGGAUGUGAGGUUAGGGUUCGAAUCCCUGCUCAAUCAUGGAAGCCCACUCGAGUGGGUCACUCUCUCUCAGCCUCAAAGGAAGCCAAAGUCAAACUCCACUGGGACUGGGUUACUGUGAGUUUUCCAGGCUGUCUGGCCAUGUUCCAGAAGAACUCUCCGAUGUUUUAUUUAUUACAUUAGCUCAGGGCUCCUCUCAUCCCAAAUUGACCUCAAAACGAAUUUGUGGCACUUUAUCUAUGUUUCUGAGUUCGCAACUUAUAAUGUGCACUUUGCUAAUCUAUCAUUGCAACCUCACUGUUUUUAAUUCUAUGUUGUUUCAUUUUCUGAUCAAUGUUUAAAUAUUAUAACUGGUACAGUAGAGUCUCACUUAUCCAAGCUAAACGGGCCAGCAGAAGCUUGGAUAAGCGAAUAUCUUGGAUAAUAAGGAGGGAUUAAGGAAAAGCCUAUUAAACAUCAAUUUAGGUUAUGAUUUUAUAAAUUAAGCACCAAAACUCCAUGUUAUACAACAAAUUUGACAGAAAAAGUAGUUCAAUACGCAGUAAUGUUAUAUUGUCAUUACUGUAUUUACGAAUUUAGCACCAAAAUAUCACGAUAUAUUGAAAUCAUUGACUACAAAAAUGGCUUGGAUUAUCCAGAGGCUUGGAUAAGCGAGGCUUGGAUAAGUGAGACUCUACUGUACAUGUUAUUGUUUAUUGAUGUAUUGUACAUUGUUAUUGUUUUGUAUCUGAUAUUUCUGUGAACCGCCCAAGUCCCCUCCGGGGGAGAUGGUGGCGGGAUACAAAUAAAAUUAUUAUUAUUAUUAUUAUUAUUAUUAUUAUUAUUAUUAUUAUUAUUAUUACAUCAUUUCUACUCCGCUCUUCUCACCCAUCAGGGGAGUCAGUGCAUUUUUGCCCACAUCUAUGGCAGGCAUCCCCUGAGGUUGUGAGGUCUGCUGGAAACUAGGCAAGUGGGGUUUAUAUCCCUGUGGAAUAAUAUUCAGGGUAGAAGAAAGAACUCUUUAUCUGUUUGAGACAAGUAUGAAUGUUGCAAUUGGCCAUCUUGAUUAGCCUUGCAGCUUCAAAGCCUGGCUGCUUUCUGCCUGGGGGAAUCUUUGGUUGGAGGCAUUGGCUGGCCCUGAUUGUUUCAUGUCUAGAAUUCCCCUGUUUUCAGAGUGUUGUUCUUUAUUUACUGUCCUGAUUUUAGAGGUUUUCAAUACUGGGAGCCAGAUUUUGUACAUUUUCAUGGUUUCCUCCUUUCUGUUGAACUUGUCCACGUGCUUGUGGAUUCUCUGUGUAGUCUGAUGUGGUGGUUGUGAGAGUGGUCCAGCAUUUCUGAGUUCUCAAAUAAUAUGCUGUGUCCAGGUUGGUUCAUCAAGUGCUCUGCUAUGGCUGAUUUCUCUGGUUGAAUUGGGGACGAGAGCGGCCUUCUCAGUAGUGGCUCCUCGGCUGUGGAACUCCCUCCCUAGUGACAUCCGGCAGGCUCCAUCCUUUUUGAGUUUCAGAAAGAAAGUGAAGACCUGGCUAUGUGAGCAAGCGUUCAAAGAAUAAGUUUUGUUGGCUUCAACUUGGUCUGGACUAAGGCUUAUGUACAAGUUUUUUGUGGAUGAAUGGCUCAAGUAUUUUGUAUUGUUUUAAAUCUGUAUUUAACUGCUUAUGUUUUUAUUCUUUUGUAUUGUUGUGUAUUGGCAUCGAAUUCUGCCAGUUUUGUAAGCCACCCUGAGUCCCUUCGGGCGAGAAGGGCGGGAUAGAAAUGAUGGAAAUAAAUAAAUAAAUAAAUAAAUAGUCUGCAGUGCCUUUCAUGUUCCUAUGGUGGUCCCUUGGUAGACUUCUCCACAGCUGCAAAGUAUACCAUAUACUCCUGGAAAGUGUACCAUAUACCCCACUUGCCUCACUUCCACAACCUCUGAGGAUGCCUACCACCAGGUAAGGCUGGUGGGAACGAGGGACAGGGCCUUCCUUCUCGGUGGUGGCUCCUCGGCUGUGGAACACCCUCCCCAGCAACAUACGGCAGAUACCAACUCUCCUAGGCUUCAGGAAAGCCUUAAAGACAUGGUUGUGCACGCAAGCUUUUAAUGAAUGAGAACAUGGACUUUACUUGACCUGUACGAAGACUUGAGGAUUCUGGAUGAAUGUAUUUUAAUCUUGGACAUUCUUAAAAUUUUAUAUAUUGUGAUUUUAUUUUGUAAUGGUAUCUGUUUUAUAUGAACUGUUGUUUUGUAGAUUGUUUUAUAUGAAUUGUUGUUUUUACAUUGUUUUUAGGCAUUGAAUUUUUGCCUAUUUACUGUAAGCCGCUUUGAGUCUCCUUGGAGAGAAAGGCGGGGUAAAAGUGAUGUAAAUAAUAAAUACCAUAGAUGUGAGCGAAACGUCAGGAGAGAAUGCUUCUCGAACAUAGCCAUUCAGCGUGAAAAACUCAUAGCAACCCAGUGAUUCCAGCCAUGAAAGCCUUCAACAAUCCAUUGGGACUAAUGUUGUCAAGAAAAACCUGUGAUCAUUUCGUCUUAGGGUUGGCCUAAAGUUGGUAAUGACUCAAAGGCACAGAAUGACAAAAGACAACGACGAAGGAACCGCCUUCCUUGGGCAGAGCCCAAAUCCAGUGCAUUUCCCUUGCCAAGUGACCCCUUUCCUCCUCCUGGCAGCCAAUAUGGCCCAGGCGACAGGGCCAGAGAGUCAUCCCUGGGGUUCCAGGGGUUAACCCCAAACCAACGGGACAAUGUGUUGUCGAAGGCUUUCAUGGCCAGGAUCACAGGGUUGUUGUGUGUCUUUCGGGCUGUGUGGCCAUGUUCCAGAAGCAUUCUCUCCUGACAUUUCGCCCACAUCUAUGGCAGGCAUCCUCAGAGGUUGUGAGGUAUGGAGAAAACUAAGCAAAGAGGUAAAUAUAUAUCUGUGGAAAGUCUAGGGUGAGAGAGGUCAGGGUGAAUGUUGUGUAGUUAAUCACUUUAAUUAGCAUUGAAAAGCUUAUCUGCUGUCUUCUUCCUGCCUCUGGGGCAUCCUUUGUUUAGAGUCGUUAACUGCCCUAGGUUGAUUCAUGUCUGGAAAUCCUCUGUUUUCAGAGUAUUGCUUAUUAUUUACUGUUCUGAUUCUUGAGUUUUUUAAUACUGGUAGCCAGAUUUUGUUCAUUUUCAUGGUUUCUUCCUUUCUGUUGAAGUUGUCCACAUGCUUGUGGAUUUCAAUGGCUUCUCUGUGUAGUCUGACAUGAUCGUUGUUAGAAUGGUCCAGCAUUUUUGUGUUCUCAAAUAGUAUUCUGUGUCCAGGCUGGUUCAUCAAAUGCUCUGCUAUGGCUGAUUUCUCUGGUUGAAUUAGUCUGCAGUGCCUUUCAUGUUCUUUGACUCUUGUUUGGGCAAAGCUGCGUUUGGUGGUCCCCAUGUAGACUUGUCCACAGCUGCAUGGGAUCCGGUAGACAAUGUUUGGGUGUUGAGCCAGCUGGGCAUGAGGCGUAUGAGUGCAAGAAACCAGCCUUGCUGGUUUGGAUGGGAUGGUGCCUCCUUGGCCUCAGGGCACCGGUCUGGAGCAGCUGGCAGCGAGGAAGGAAGGACGGACGGAAGGAGGAACCCAGCCAAAAAAGUAGGAGAGACACAGGCCUUCUCCCUGCCUGCAAACCACUGCCUGCUGCUCCUCCUCCUCCUCCUCCAAAGGGUUUAUUCUUGGAGCUGCCUCUCUCUUCCACUCCUCCACGUGCCAAGAUUCCCACUUUUGGGGGGAGGAAGAGAAGGAUGAAGUCGUCAUGCUCCCCCCCCCCCCCCCCGCCAUGGGCCCUCCGCCCCUUCUCCUCACUGGCUGCUCCGUCCUGCCAUCCCCUUCGCAUAAACACCGCUAAGAAUAGCCCCGUCAAAUCCCAAAAGGAAUGCGGUGGGUGCCAGCUCGAACCAGCCUCGCUCCUGCGGCUUGGCCUGGCCCCGGAUGGCCACGCUCCCUGCUCCUUCGCCCGGGUUCCCCUCCAAAGGGAGGAGCGGGAGGCCUUCUCCUGCACGCCAAAGCCACCAAACAGGAGCAGAGAUGUACACGGGGAGGCAAGCAAGAGAGGGGUGGCAGGGCAGAACCUUCCCCGUCCGGGCUCAACCCUAGGUCUGGUCAAGGUUGGGGGUCAGAGAGCAUACAAGAAGCACUUUUUACCUUUGUGAACUUGAUAUAGACAUAGGGUCUACUCCCAUCCCAAUUUGCACUUCCAAGAAUUUGCUUCUGGAACAUGGCCGUACAGCCCGGAAAAUUCACAGCAACCCAGUGAUUCCGGCCAUGAAAACCUUCGACAACACAUUAACCAUACCCAGCUCAUAAGGCUUGGCUUCCAAACCUUUGACUUUUUGGUCACUCUUCUUGCAGCACUUUAUCAGUUACCUCGUGUUUACAAUAUCUAUAUGGUGCACCUUACCCAGUCUACUUUUACAACCUGUCCGUUUUAAUCCAUAUUUUUAUUAGUUCUUGUCAUUUGUUUUUAUUGGCUAAUGUUUAGAUUUUUAUAAUUGUGCAUGUCUUUUGUCUAUUGUUGUGUUUUAUAUUGCUAUUGUUUUUAUUCGGGCUUGGCCCCAUGUAAGCCGCCCUGAGGCCCCUUUGGGGAGCUAGAGGUGGGGUAUAAAAAUAAAGUUGUUAUUAUUAUUA
Anolis carolinensis (green anole) is the source of this 9074-nucleotide long non-coding RNA. RefSeq lists it as uncharacterized. The record is from RefSeq and is a predicted model, not a curated record. The transcript has 5 exons. Lineage: Eukaryota; Metazoa; Chordata; Lepidosauria; Squamata; Anolidae.